Molecule: ribosomal RNA, 1023 nt
Filed under: uncultured bacterium
Lineage: Bacteria
Description: bacterial SSU rRNA
Rfam family: Bacterial small subunit ribosomal RNA
Source: RNAcentral
AGUCGUGCGAGAAAAUUUUCUUCGGAGAAUGAGUAGAGCGGCGCACGGGUGAGUAACGCGUGGAUAAUCUGCCCUUAGGUUUGGGAUAACAUUGCGAAAGCGGUGCUAAUACCAAAUGGUCGGCCUUUUUUGUAUAAAUUGGUUGUAAAGGUGGCCUCUAUAUAUAAGCUAUCGCCUAGGGAUGAGUCCGCGUCCCAUUAGUUAGUUGGUGGGGUAAUGGCCUACCAAGGCAACGAUGGGUAGCUGGUCUGAGAGGAUGAUCAGCCACACUGGAACUGAAACACGGUCCAGACUCUUACGGGAGGCAGCAGUGGGGAAUAUUGCGCAAUGGGGGAAACCCUGACGCAGCGACGCCGUGUGAGGGAAGAAGGCCUUCGGGUCGUAAACCUCUGUCAGGAGGGAAGAACCCCAUAGAUUCGAAUAGGGUCUAUGGCUGACGGUACCUCCAGAGGAAGCACCGGCUAACUCCGUGCCAGCAGCCGCGGUAAUACGGAGGGUGCAAGCGUUAUUCGGAAUCACUGGGCGUAAAGCGCGCGUAGGCGGCGAGACAAGUCAGAUGUGAAAGCCCUCGGCCCAACCGGGGAACUGCAUUUGAAACUGUCUUGCUAGAGUUCGGGAGAGGGCAGUGGAAUUCCCGGUGUAGGGGUGAAAUCCGUAGAUAUCGGGAGGAACACCAGUGGCGAAGGCGACUGCCUGGACCGCGACUGACGCUGAGGUGCGAAAGUGUGGGGAGCAAACAGGAUUAGAUACCCUGGUAGUCCACACCGUAAACGAUGGAUGCUAGGUGCUGGGGUCGUUUGGGCUUCGGUGCCGUAGUUAACGCGUUAAGCAUCCCGCCUGGGGAGUACGGUCGCAAGGCUGAAACUCAAAGAAAUUGACGGGGGCCCGCACAAGCGGUGGAGUAUGUGGUUUAAUUCGAUGCAACGCGAAGAACCUUACCUGGACUUGACAUCUCAGGAACCCCCUGGAAACAGAGGGGUGCCCUUCGGGGAACCUGAUGACAGGUGCUGCAUGGCUGUCGUC